AGAAUCAACGCUGGCGGCGUGCCUAACACAUGCAAGUCGAACGAGAAAGUGGAGCAAUCCAUUAGUAAAGUGGCGCACGGGUGAGUAACACGUGACUAACCUACCCUUGAGUGGGGGAUAACCUAGAGAAAUCUGGGCUAAUACCGCAUAAUACCUUCGGGUCAAAGGAGCAAUUCGCUUAAGGAGGGGGUCGCGGCCGAUUAGUUAGUUGGCGGGGUAAUGGCCCACCAAGACUAUGAUCGGUAUCCGGCCUGAGAGGGCGCACGGACACACUGGAACUGAAACACGGUCCAGACUCCUACGGGAGGCAGCAGUGGGGAAUUUGCGCAAUGGGGGAAACCCUGACGCAGCAACGCCGCGUGGAGGAUGAAGCCCCUUGGGGCGUAAACUCCUUUCGAUCGGGACGAUAAUGACGGUACCGAGAGAAGAAGCCCCGGCUAACUUCGCGCCAGCAGCCGC
This 459-nucleotide ribosomal RNA is filed under the name uncultured bacterium. RNAcentral describes it as "SSU rRNA". It matches the Rfam family "Bacterial small subunit ribosomal RNA", at positions 26 to 518 of the family's 1533-position model. The record is from RNAcentral.